Molecule: long non-coding RNA, 499 nt
Organism: Carassius gibelio (silver crucian carp)
Lineage: Eukaryota; Metazoa; Chordata; Actinopteri; Cypriniformes; Cyprinidae
Exons: 3
Source: RefSeq, a predicted model, not a curated record
GAUUUAAGCUUAUUGGCAGGUCUGGACGAAACAAUUAAUAUAUGUUUAAGAACUGUUGCCAUUUCUUCAACUCGGCCUGUAACCGCCAGAAAACUAAAGAAGAGGAAGAAUUUUUCGUCAACUCGUUUUCAUCCCGCUUGACGCAGUCUCUGCGCAUGCGCAAUGUUAAAUGGACGCAGGUGUUCGGAAUCGAGACGACGACGACGAACUUCAGAUGUGUGGCAGCACAACUAGGUGCUCAUUGAUUGGCAGUGUCGGUUCUGCUUUGCCAAAAGGAGUGAAAUCCAGGAGGAGGAGGAGGUGGUCCAGUCGGAACAUUUUCUAUGCAGAUUUAAAAUCGAAAUUCAACUUCAUUUACCACUUUUGAGUCGCAUAUCUGGCAAAAACCUGCAAACCGAAUUUUCAAGAACUGAACAGAUUCACUCAACGGUUCAUUCAUAUCUUCAAGGCCAAAGGGGGAGACAUUGGAUGUAAGCUUAAGAAGAUUCUGCAACAGAUU